Molecule: ribosomal RNA, 497 nt
Filed under: uncultured bacterium
Lineage: Bacteria
Description: bacterial SSU rRNA
Rfam family: Bacterial small subunit ribosomal RNA
Source: RNAcentral
AUUGAACGCUGGCGGAAUGCUUUACACAUGCAAGUCGAACGGUAGAGGGGGCAACCCCUUGAGAGUGGCGAACGGGUGAGUAAUAUAUCGGAACGUGCCCAGUCGUGGGGAUAACGUAGCGAAAGUUACGCUAAUACCGCAUACGAUCUAAGGAUGAAAGCGGGGGAUCGCAAGACCUCGCGCGAUUGGAGCGGCCGAUAUCAGAUUAGGUAGUUGGUGAGGUAAAGGCUCACCAAGCCGACGAUCUGUAGCUGGUCUGAGAGGACGACCAGCCACACUGGGACUGAGACACGGCCCAGACUCCUACGGGAGGCAGCAGUGGGGAAUUUUGGACAAUGGACGCAAGUCUGAUCCAGCCAUUCCGCGUGCAGGAUGAAGGCCCUCGGGUUGUAAACUGCUUUUGUACGGAACGAAAGGUUUCUAUUAAUACUAGGAGCUCAUGACGGUACCGUAAGAAUAAGCACCGGCUAACUACGUGCCAGCAGCCGCGGUAAAGU